GGACGCGGAUCCAUCGGCUGCGAAAUCACGGUAUAAAAGGUGGACCAUCUGCUCCAGUUGAAUCAAGCCAGUCUUCCACCGUCGACUUCCAGCAUCACUUUGCUCGUUCCUCAACCGAAAAUCAAAAUGUACAAGGUCUUCGUUUUCCUGGCCAUCGUCGCCGCUGCCAGCGCCAUGAGCUUCGGCUUGGGUGCACCUCUCCUCUCCAAAGUGAGCUACCAGCCCACCGAGUACACCCAUGUCCGACCGGAAGUGACUGUCCAACAGCCCGAGUACACCUACAAGAGCUACCCAGUGCCAGUGCCCGUCGCCCAGCCUUACUACACCGCCCCGGUCGUCCGCAACUUCAUCGCGGCACCUCAAUUCCACGCCUACCCCGGACUCGCAGCUCCUUUGGUUUAUUAGAUUAUCUUUUAUUGGAUUUUUUGUUUUGUCUGUCUGAGCUUUUUAUACCCACGAUCCCAUCCAUUCGAUCAAUAAAAACGGACCUCCGAUUUUUCUUGUUAAA
Daphnia pulex (common water flea) is the source of this 508-nucleotide long non-coding RNA. RefSeq lists it as uncharacterized. Lineage: Eukaryota; Metazoa; Arthropoda; Branchiopoda; Diplostraca; Daphniidae. The transcript has 2 exons. The record is from RefSeq and is a predicted model, not a curated record.